This 76-nucleotide transfer RNA is filed under the name Bacillus atrophaeus UCMB-5137. RNAcentral describes it as "tRNA-Asn". It matches the Rfam family "tRNA". From Rfam's summary of the family: Transfer RNA (tRNA) molecules are approximately 80 nucleotides in length. Lineage: Bacteria; Bacillati; Bacillota; Bacilli; Caryophanales; Bacillaceae. The record is from RNAcentral.
UCCACAGUAGCUCAGUGGUAGAGCUAUCGGCUGUUAACCGAUCGGUCGCAGGUUCGAGUCCUGCCUGUGGAGCCAU